UUUACUUUAGUGUAAAGAGCACGUAAAAUUUUGAUUUUUAAAGAAGAAUUCUAAGUAGUU
RNAcentral lists this transfer RNA (60 nucleotides) under Metacrangonyx ilvanus. RNAcentral's name for it is "transfer RNA Glutamine". Lineage: Eukaryota; Metazoa; Arthropoda; Malacostraca; Amphipoda; Metacrangonyctidae. The record is from RNAcentral.